UUCCGUUAAAAGUGUCCAAUCGAACCCACAGUGUUCCGCUUACCGGGCAGAUGCCAUGCCCACUAGGCUACACUGGA
Cordylochernes scorpioides is the source of this 77-nucleotide non-coding RNA. Lineage: Eukaryota; Metazoa; Arthropoda; Arachnida; Pseudoscorpiones; Chernetidae. The record is from the annotation of a GenBank genome assembly.